GACGAACGCUGGCGGCGUGCUUAACACAUGCAAGUCGAACGGAAAGGCCUGCUUUCCCUUGUGGAUUGCGGGUACUCGAGUGGCGAACGGGUGAGUACCACGUGAGUGCUCUGCCCCCAACUUGGUUCUAAGCCUGGGAAACUGGGUCUAAUUUCCGCUAGGACUGCAGGGUGGUGCCUUUGGUGGAAAACGAUUUUCUAGUGGUUGGGGAUGAGCUCGCGGCCUAUCAGCUUGUUGGUGGGGUAAUGGCCUACCAAGGCGGCGACGGGUAGCCGGCCUGAGAGGGUGGACGGGCACAGUGGGACUGAGAGACGGCCCAGAGUCCGACGGGAGGCAGCAGUGGGGAAUAGUGCAAAAUGGGCGGAAGCCUGAUGCAGGGGCGCCGGGUGGGGGAUGACGGCCUGCGGGAUGUAAGCUCCUUUCGGCCGCGAGGAAGCCACCUGGUUGGAAGGGUGGUGACGGUAGUGGUAGAAGAAGCACCGGCUAACUACGUG
RNAcentral lists this ribosomal RNA (494 nucleotides) under uncultured bacterium. RNAcentral's name for it is "partial 16S ribosomal RNA". It matches the Rfam family "Bacterial small subunit ribosomal RNA", at positions 28 to 507 of the family's 1533-position model. The record is from RNAcentral.